This is a long non-coding RNA of Cataglyphis hispanica, 529 nucleotides long. RefSeq lists it as uncharacterized. The record is from RefSeq and is a predicted model, not a curated record. Lineage: Eukaryota; Metazoa; Arthropoda; Insecta; Hymenoptera; Formicidae. The transcript is spliced from 3 exons.
ACCAAGCACCCAACGCCGUCGUUGCUGUCAUCGUGCCGCGGAUGGCUCGUCGUAUCAUUAAUGCUGUCAUCGUGUCGCGGACGGCUUUUCGCGGCGUCGGUCCCGUCAUCGUGCCGCGGACGGUUUUCGCGUCGCGAAAUUCGGGAAAGUACGGGAGUGUCGUUGAAAGUAUCGCGCGUACAAGUGCGGAAAUAUCUUUUAAUAAAAGUGCGGAAGUGUCGUUUAAAGUAUCGCGCGUGUGAAUCAAUCUGAGAAGAGGAGGAAGCCUAGGAGAGGCAUCGGGCGUCGGUGGAGCAACCCUGUGAUCAACGUGGCGUCCCUAACAUUCUGAGAGGAGGAGGAGGCCUAGGAGAGGUAUCCUGCACCAGCGGAGCAACCCAAGGACAACGUAGCUUCAAGACCUAAUCUCCGCUGUUGCGCAUCAGUGCCGGUGAGUGAUAAAUUUUAUUUUAUUUUGAGGUGACGAAUGCGAGAUAUUGUAGUUGCAAAUGUAGAUUGUAAAUUAUAAAUAGAUCCGUUGCCUUAAAAU